UACGUAGGGUGCAAGCGUUAAUCGGAAUUACUGGGCGUAAAGCGUGCGCAGGCGGUUGUGCAAGACAGAUGUGAAAUCCCCGGGCUUAACCUGGGAAUUGCAUUUGUGACUGCAUGGCUAGAGUGUGUCAGAGGGGGGUAGAAUUCCACGUGUAGCAGUGAAAUGCGUAGAUAUGUGGAGGAACACCGAUGGCGAAGGCAGCCCCCUGGGUCAAGACUGACGCUCAUGCACGAAAGCGUGGGGAGCAAACAGG
This 253-nucleotide ribosomal RNA is filed under the name uncultured bacterium. Its description in RNAcentral is "partial 16S ribosomal RNA". It matches the Rfam family "Bacterial small subunit ribosomal RNA", at positions 524 to 776 of the family's 1533-position model. The record is from RNAcentral.